CCAGAUGGCUGGGCGGUCGCGCUUGCUUACGCAGGCGAGGAAAGUCCGGGCUCCACGACGACAUGGCGGUGGGUAACGCCCACCGGGAGUGAUCCUAGGGAUAGCGCCACAGAGAGCAGACCUCCGGAGCUUCGGCGCCGGGAAGGGUGAAAGGGUGCGGUAAGAGCGCACCGCGGACCCAGCAAUGGGGACGGCAUGGCAAGCCCCGCCAGGAGCAAGACCGAAUAGGGGUGUCGCGCCGGUUCGCCGGUAGGGCUGUCGUAGGCCCGAGACACCCGGGUAGGU
RNAcentral lists this RNase P RNA (285 nucleotides) under Phenylobacterium sp. RNAcentral describes it as "partial RNase P RNA component class A". It matches the Rfam family "Bacterial RNase P class A", at positions 1 to 276 of the family's 367-position model. From Rfam's summary of the family: Ribonuclease P (RNase P) is a ubiquitous endoribonuclease, found in archaea, bacteria and eukarya as well as chloroplasts and mitochondria. Its best characterised activity is the generation of mature 5'-ends of tRNAs by cleaving the 5'-leader elements of precursor-tRNAs. The record is from RNAcentral. Lineage: Bacteria; Pseudomonadati; Pseudomonadota; Alphaproteobacteria; Caulobacterales; Caulobacteraceae.